RNAcentral lists this ribosomal RNA (515 nucleotides) under uncultured Alphaproteobacteria bacterium. RNAcentral describes it as "bacterial SSU rRNA". It matches the Rfam family "Bacterial small subunit ribosomal RNA", at positions 385 to 920 of the family's 1533-position model. Lineage: Bacteria; Pseudomonadati; Pseudomonadota; Alphaproteobacteria. The record is from RNAcentral.
GAUGCAGCCCGCCGCGUGAGUGGAUGACGGCCCUAGGGUUGUAAACAUCUUUCAACAGGGAAGAUACUGACGGUACCUGUAGAAGAAGGUCCGGCUAACUCCGUGCCAGCAGCCGCGGUGAUACGGAGGGAGCUAGCGUUGUUCGAAUUACUGGGCGUAAAGACGCUGCGUAGCGGAUUAUUAAGUCAGAUGUGAAAUCUCGGGGCUCAACCCCGGAACUGCCUUUGAUACUGGUAGUCUUAGGUCGGAGAGGUGAGUGGAAUUCCCAGUGGUGAGGUGAAAUUGCUAGAUUUUCGGAGGAACCCCCGUGGGCAAGGGGGCUCCUUGGGUCCAUACUGACCCUUAAGUGCCAAAGUGUGGGUAGCAAAACGGAUUAAAUUCCCUGGGAGUCCCCCCCGUAAACCAUGAAGGCUAGUCUUCGGGGGACUUGUCCUUUGGUGACCCCCCUAACUCAUUAAUUAUUCCCCCCGGGGAGUACGGUCGCAAGAUUAAAACUCAAAGGAAUUGACGGACGG